Molecule: long non-coding RNA, 267 nt
Filed under: Citrus maxima (pomelo)
Lineage: Eukaryota; Viridiplantae; Streptophyta; Magnoliopsida; Sapindales; Rutaceae
Description: long non-coding RNA (CMAX_LNC004296)
Source: RNAcentral
AAGAGAUAAUUAUUUCAUUGAAUAGGGUUUCAUCUUUAACCUCAGUAUAAGAAAAUUAGCUAGACAUACUUGAAUUGGGAGCAACAAAAUAAAUAAAUUCAGCCAUGGGAAAGCCGAAUUGCUGCAGAUUUUCUUCUCUGUCUUGAAUCCUUGCGUCUGCAGUUCUCCCUUCUGGCGGCUCUCCCUUUGCAAAAGCCAAAGUUCGGCUUUUAUAUCUUUAAUCCCUAGCCGAAUCCUUGUCAAAUAAUGAUAGCUAGUGACUUGCUC